RNAcentral lists this ribosomal RNA (315 nucleotides) under uncultured eukaryote. RNAcentral describes it as "partial 18S ribosomal RNA". It matches the Rfam family "Eukaryotic small subunit ribosomal RNA", at positions 1470 to 1796 of the family's 1831-position model. The record is from RNAcentral.
CCCUUAGACGUUCUGGGCCGCACGCGCGCUACACUGACCAGUGCAACAAGCAUCCGUCCUUGGCCGACAGGCCCGGGCAAUCUUUGAACGCUGGUCGUGAUGGGGAUAGACUUUUGCAAUUUUUGGUCUUCAACGAGGAAUUCCUAGUAAACACAAGUCAUCAACUUGCAUUGAUUACGUCCCUGCCCUUUGUACACACCGCCCGUCGCACCUACCGAUUGAAUGGUCCGGUGAAGCCUCCGGAUUGGCGCGCACCUCGGUGCCGCCGAGAAGUUGGCUAAACCUUACCAUUUAGAGGAAGGCGAAGUCGUAACA